This 258-nucleotide ribosomal RNA is filed under the name Escherichia coli. RNAcentral describes it as "partial 16S ribosomal RNA". It matches the Rfam family "Bacterial small subunit ribosomal RNA", at positions 1275 to 1532 of the family's 1533-position model. Lineage: Bacteria; Pseudomonadati; Pseudomonadota; Gammaproteobacteria; Enterobacterales; Enterobacteriaceae. The record is from RNAcentral.
CAUAAAGUGCGUCGUAGUCCGGAUUGGAGUCUGCAACUCGACUCCAUGAAGUCGGAAUCGCUAGUAAUCGUGGAUCAGAAUGCCACGGUGAAUACGUUCCCGGGCCUUGUACACACCGCCCGUCACACCAUGGGAGUGGGUUGCAAAAGAAGUAGGUAGCUUAACCUUCGGGAGGGCGCUUACCACUUUGUGAUUCAUGACUGGGGUGAAGUCGUAACAAGGUAACCGUAGGGGAACCUGCGGUUGGAUCACCUCCUU